Molecule: long non-coding RNA, 319 nt
Organism: Arabidopsis thaliana (thale cress)
Lineage: Eukaryota; Viridiplantae; Streptophyta; Magnoliopsida; Brassicales; Brassicaceae
Product: other RNA
Exons: 1
Source: RefSeq
CUUCCUCACAAUCUUUUUUGGUUAUUUUUUCCAUCAUUUAACGUCUUUUCUAAAAAGCUGCUUGAUCCGCCUGAUACGUUUGAUCCGCCUGAUAUGCUUGAUCUGUUCCGUUCGAUACGCUUUCUCCACAUUCCAAGUUAUUGUUCUUCUAUCUACCUUCCAACAAUGAAAAAACAUAAAAGCAUUUUUUCUUUUCUUUUCUAUUUUAGCAAUCCUUUGUGACCACUUCUGAAUCGUCUUUGAUUAUUGGGGAACCACACUAAUAGCCUAUAAAGAUUCUACCUUGUCCAUCUCGUGAAGCCAUUCUUUUUCCUCAACC